Molecule: ribosomal RNA, 467 nt
Filed under: uncultured bacterium
Lineage: Bacteria
Description: partial 16S ribosomal RNA
Rfam family: Bacterial small subunit ribosomal RNA
Source: RNAcentral
ACGAACGCUGGCGGUGUGCUUAACACAUGCCAGUCGAACGGAAAGGCCCUGCUUUUGUGGGGUGCUCGAGUGGCGAACGGGUGAGUAACACGUGAGUAACCUGCCCUUGACUUUGGGAUAACUUCAGGAAACUGGGGCUAAUACCGGAUAGGAGCUCCUGCUGCAUGGUGGGGGUUGGAAAGUUUCGGCGGUUGGGGAUGGACUCGCGGCUUAUCAGCUUGUUGGUGGGGUAGUGGCUUACCAAGGCUUUGACGGGUAGCCGGCCUGAGAGGGUGACCGGCCACAUUGGGACUGAGAUACGGCCCAGACUCCUACGGGAGGCAGCAGGGGGGAAUAUUGCACAAUGGGCGGAAGCCUGAUGCAGCAACGCCGCGUGCGGGAUGACGGCCUUCGGGUUGUAAACCGCUUUCGCCUGUGACGAAGCGUGAGUGACGGUAAUGGGUAAAGAAGCACCGGCUAACUACGUG